AUCGCAUCUAUACAUGCAGUCAGAACGAACGGAGGAAGAGCUUGCUCUUCCAAAGUUAGUGGCGGACGGGUGAGUAACACGUGGGCAACCUGCCUGUAAGUUGGGGAUAACUCCGGGAAACCGGGGCUAAUACCGAAUGAUAGAAUGUGGCGCAUGCCACGCUCUUGAAAGAUGGUUUCGGCUAUCGCUUACAGAUGGGCCCGCGGUGCAUUAGCUAGUUGGUAGGGUAAUGGCCUACCAAGGCAACGAUGCAUAGCCGACCUGAGAGGGUGAUCGGCCACACUGGGACUGAGACACGGCCCAGACUCCUACGGGAGGCAGCAGUAGGGAAUCUUCCGCAAUGGACAAAAGUCUGACGGAGCAACGCCGCGUGUAUGAAGAAGGUUUUCGGAUCGUAAAGUACUGUUGUUAGAGAAGAACAAGGAUAAGAGUAACUGCUUGUCCCUUGACGGUAUCUAACCAGAAAGCCCCGGAUAACUUCUUGCCCAACAGCCGGGGGUAACACCUAGGUGGGCAG
This 517-nucleotide ribosomal RNA is filed under the name uncultured Listeria sp. Its description in RNAcentral is "bacterial SSU rRNA". It matches the Rfam family "Bacterial small subunit ribosomal RNA", at positions 43 to 537 of the family's 1533-position model. Lineage: Bacteria; Bacillati; Bacillota; Bacilli; Caryophanales; Listeriaceae. The record is from RNAcentral.